This 446-nucleotide ribosomal RNA is filed under the name uncultured bacterium. RNAcentral describes it as "partial 16S ribosomal RNA". It matches the Rfam family "Bacterial small subunit ribosomal RNA", at positions 338 to 795 of the family's 1533-position model. The record is from RNAcentral.
CCUACGGGAGGCAGCAGUCGAGAAUCAUUCACAAUGGGGGAAACCCUGAUGGGGCGACGCCGCGUGGGGGAAUGAAGGUCUUCGGAUUGUAAACCCCUGUCAUGUGGGAGCAAAUUAAAAAGAUAGUACCACAAGAGGAAGAGACGGCUAACUCUGUGCCAGCAGCCGCGGUAAUACAGAGGUCUCAAGCGUUGUUCGGAAUCACUGGGCGUAAAGCGUGCGUAGGCUGUUUCGUAAGUCGUGUGUGAAAGGCGCGGGCUCAACCCGCGGACGGCACAUGAUACUGCGAGACUAGAGUAGUGGAGGGGGAACCGGAAUUCUCGGUGUAGCAGUGAAAUGCGUAGAUAUCGAGAGGAACACUCGUGGCGAAGGCGGGUUCCUGGACAUUAACUGACGCUGAGGCACGAAGGCCAGGGGAGCGAAAGGGAUUAGAUACCCGUGUAGUC